UACGGAGGGAGCUAGCGUUGUUCGGAAUUACUGGGCGUAAAGCGCACGUAGGCGGCGACACAAGUCAGAGGUGAAAGCCCGGGGCUCAACUCCGGAACUGCCUUUGAAACUGGGUUGCUAGAAUCUUGGAGAGGCGAGUGGAAUUCCGAGUGUAGAGGUGAAAUUCGUAGAUAUUCGGAAGAACACCAGUGGCGAAGGCGACUCGCUGGACAAGUAUUGACGCUGAGGUGCGAAAGCGUGGGGAGCAAACAGG
This 253-nucleotide ribosomal RNA is filed under the name uncultured bacterium. RNAcentral's name for it is "partial 16S ribosomal RNA". It matches the Rfam family "Bacterial small subunit ribosomal RNA", at positions 524 to 776 of the family's 1533-position model. The record is from RNAcentral.